GAGGGAGAGCAUGAGUGGGGGAGAGGCGGGGAGAGAGGGAGACACAGAAUCCAAAGCAGGCUCCAGGCUCUGAGCCAUCAGCACAGAGCCUGACGCGGGGCUUGAACCCACAAACCGUGACAUCACGACCUGAACCAAAAUCAGAUGCUCAACCGACUGAGCCACCCAGGUGCCCCAAAAGGUGAGUUAAUUUUAAAAAAUAGGUAAAUGCUUGUUCAUCUGGCACAGUGAUAGAAGAAAAAUCAUAAAGGGGGUUCACAAAUGACUAAAAUUUGAGGAACAUUGAUCUAAUAAGACUCUUUAUAUUAGUAGUGAAGAAACUGAGGUCAAGAAACAGACCUGGGACUUGAACCAGAUCCUCGGAGCUCCAGGUGGUGCUCCUCUGAGCAGCCAGGGCUUUCUCCCUUCGUUGGGCAACCUACACUAGAAGAACUUUCCAUUGUCACCUUGAGAAUCUGGGUAGCUGCUGAGUAGCCACCAGUCCAAGAAAAAUGAGGAGGUUCAUGGAGUCAACCCAAACCCAACCUGUACCUGGAGCCCAACCUGAAAGAGCCACAGAUGAUCCACAGAACUGUGAGGCAGAAACAUCAGUGUAUAAACGUGUACAUGAGCGAGAGUUACUUGGAUGGUCUGUUGCUGGCAGCCAAAGGCACCCUAACUGAGGCAGAAACAAUUACAUAUGGAGACAGUGAAAGGAAAGCCGAACCCCCGAGUGCCAGUGCAGCAAAACAAGGCUGGAGUUGCCCUUCCCCUGGAGGAGAGGGACGCUUUUGGGAAGCCAACCAAAGGCAGUGAGGGACUGAGGACCGUCCCGGAGGAGAAGUACAAAUAACACGGUUAGCCUGGGCCGGAUCCGCUGAAACCAAAAGUGGGGGAAAAGGCAGGUGUGGCAUAUGCUGUUUGCUCACCACCACGGAGACAAUUGACCGAACUUGGUUUGGAUUCUGAGAUGGCCAAGUGACAGGGCUGGAGCUUAAGCUUUCGAUAUCCUAAAGAGAGGAUUUUAUAUGGUUUUAGAACAUGGUCCGAAAGGGGGUACUUUAUUCACUCACUGUAGUAUAUAUUCGUCACUUAUUAUGGAACGAGUGCCGGCCAGGUGUAUCUGGAGACACAGCAGUGAGGGAGGUUUCACAGUCUCUGUUCUCAUGCAUUCUAGUUGGGGGAGGUGGAGGACAAGAUCAGGUGGCAACUAAACACAGAGACCUGGGUGGUGAGAAAGAGCUGGUUGUGCAAAGACCUGG
This is a long non-coding RNA of Neofelis nebulosa (Clouded leopard), 1241 nucleotides long. RefSeq lists it as uncharacterized. NCBI's taxonomy places the organism in Eukaryota, Metazoa, Chordata, Mammalia, Carnivora, Felidae. The record is from RefSeq and is a predicted model, not a curated record. The transcript has 4 exons.